GACGAACGCUGGCGGCGUGCUUAACACAUGCAAGUCGAACGGAAAGGCCCUGCUUUUGUGGGGUGCUCGAGUGGCGAACGGGUGAGUAACACGUGAGUAACCUGCCCUUAACUUUGGGAUAACUUCAGGAAACUGGGGCUAAUACCGGAUAGGAGCUCCUGCUGCAUGGUGGGGGUUGGAAAGUUUCGGCGGUUGGGGAUGGACUCGCGGCUUAUCAGCUUGUUGGUGGGGUAGUGGCUUACCAAGGCUUUGACGGGUAGCCGGCCUGAGAGGGUGACCGGCCACAUUGGGACUGAGAUACGGCCCAGACUCCUACGGGAGGCAGCAGUGGGGAAUAUUGCACAAUGGGCGGAAGCCUGAUGCAGCAACGCCGCGUGCGGGAUGACGGCCUUCGGGUUAUAAACCGCUUUCGCCUGUGACGAAGCGUGAGUGACGGUAAUGGGUAAAGAAGCACCGGCUAACUACGUG
RNAcentral lists this ribosomal RNA (468 nucleotides) under uncultured bacterium. RNAcentral describes it as "partial 16S ribosomal RNA". It matches the Rfam family "Bacterial small subunit ribosomal RNA", at positions 28 to 507 of the family's 1533-position model. The record is from RNAcentral.